This is a long non-coding RNA of Xenia sp. Carnegie-2017, 282 nucleotides long. RefSeq lists it as uncharacterized. Lineage: Eukaryota; Metazoa; Cnidaria; Anthozoa; Malacalcyonacea; Xeniidae. The record is from RefSeq and is a predicted model, not a curated record. The transcript is spliced from 2 exons.
AUUUGCCUCUGCAUCCAUUUGUUUGAUAGUGGAAUAUUUUGUUGUCUCGAGUCUCAAUGUGGAUUUCAUAGUAGUUCUUUGAAGUAUUAUGGCUAACAUAAAAAAUCCCAUCAAGUGUGGCAAAGCGAUAAAUCAAAACACCAAGUGCAAUAAAACAGAAACAUACAAGAAAAUAUCGUAAAUAUCGAACCAUCGUUCACAAGCCAAUGCAGGUCUCCGACAAUAUAUUAUGUAUAUAAUUUAUAAAUAGUGGUCAAAUCAAAAUAUAAAAUUGAAACAAGA